CCGAAUUUUAUUCGGAGGGUACCUUAGUGGCGAACGGGUGAGUAACGCGUGAGCAACCUGUCCAUCUGAGGGGGAUAACAACGAGAAAUCGUUGCUAAUACCGCAUGAGACCACAUCACCGCAUGGUGGAGGGGUCAAAGGAGCAAUCCGCAGACGGAGGGGCUCGCGUCCCAUUAGAUAGUUGGUAGGGUAACGGCCUACCAAGUCAGCGAUGGGUAGCCGAGCUGAGAGGCUGAACGGCCACACUGGAACUGAGACACGGUCCAGACUCCUACGGGAGGCAGCAGUGGGGAAUAUUGGGCAAUGGGCGCAAGCCUGACCCAGCAACGCCGCGUGAGGGAAGACGGUUUUCGGAUUGUAAACCUCUGUCCUAGGGGACGAAAAAAAUGACGGUACCCUGGGAGGAAGCCCCGGCUAACUACGUGCCAGCAGCCGCGGUAAUACGUAGGGGGCGAGCGUUGUCCGGAAUUACUGGGCGUAAAGGGUGCGUAGGCGGUUUAUUAAGUUGGAUGUGAAAUACCCUUGCUCAACGAGGGGGUUGCAGUAGAAACUGUUAAGCUAGAGUACAGGAGAGGUAAGCGGAAUUCCUAGUGUAGCGGUGAAAUGCAUAGAUAUUAGGAGGAACACCAGUGGCGAAGGCGGCUUACUGGACUGAUACAGACGCUGAGGUACGAAAGCGUGGGGAGCGAACAGGAUUAGAUACCCUGGUAGUCCACGCUGUAAACGAUGGAUACUAGGUGUAGGGUGAAAGCUCUGUGCCGAAGUUAACGCAAUAAGUAUCCCGCCUGGGGAGUACGGCCGCAAGGCUG
Molecule: ribosomal RNA, 809 nt
Filed under: uncultured bacterium
Lineage: Bacteria
Description: bacterial SSU rRNA
Rfam family: Bacterial small subunit ribosomal RNA
Source: RNAcentral